CCGGUGGACACCAGGGCUGUGCUGUUUUGGUUGCUGUAAGCGUGGGUGCACACUCCUGCCUGAGGCUCUGACUUGUUGUGAGUGCGGGUGCACACACCUGCCUGAGGCUGUGUUUUGGGUGUUGUGAGCGCGGGUACACACACCUGCCUGAGGCUCUGUUUUGACUGUUGUGAGCGCAGGUGCACACACCUGCCAGAGGCUCUGUUUUGACUGUUGUGAGCGCGGGUGCACACACCUGCCUGAGGCUGUGGUGCGAUCUCAGCUGACUGCAACCUCCACCUCCCGGGUUCAAGCGGUUCUCCUGCCUCAGCCUCCCGAGUAGCUGGGACUAUACCCACCACCACACCCGGCUAUUUUUUUGUAUUUUUAGUAGAGAUGGGAUUUCGCCAUCUUGGCCAGGAUGGUCUGGAACUGACCUCAGGUGAUCCACCCAUUGGCCUCCCAAAGUGCUGGGAUUACAGAUGUGAGCCACUGUGCCCGGCCUCUUUUUACUUUGUUAAUGGUGUAUUUUGAUAGAGAACAGAUUGUCAUUUUCAUGAAGCACAGCUGGUCGGUUUAUUGUUGCUCAUGUAUUUGGCCUCACGUUCGAGUCCCUGUUCUUAAUCAUGAGCUGGACACAUCCCUCUUUAGAGCAACUGUGACCACUUGUGGUGAGAAGUGCAGCCCACACCAUCCACGUGAGGCUCCCAUGCAGAUGUUUAGAAGGCGUUUCCACUGCAGCUCAGAAAAUGGCCCCAGGCGCCCAUGGGCACCCCCAUGUCACUAGGGCCUCUGGUUGCUGCAGGUACACAGGGAUAAGCAGCCUGGCCUCGAAGGCGCUUGGCAUGGGUUUGGGUGUCUGCAUUGGGUAGAGACCCGGAGCACCCUUGCUGGGCGUGCCCUAACAUCCCAGUACCCUGUGCCCCUCUGUGGGCCAGGAUGCCUGGUGCUGCCAGCUGGGCGUGAGCCCUGAGGAGCUGAGGGUGGCUGUGACUUGGAGGAUGAGUGGGAGCUUACCAGGAGGGCGUGGAGCCGGGGCGUUUAAUAUCAUCAGGAGCAACACUGGGCUCAGAAGGCAGGCACACUUGCCGUCCCUCCAGAGCCAUGGCUGACGGCCAGGCCUGGCGGGCUCUCGUGAGGACAGUGCCUGUGGUUGUCAGAUGCUGUCCCUUCGGGUAAGGGAUGAGAGCCAUCCUGAAGACAGGUCAGCUCUGUGGUGGCCACCCGUCGGGAUCAGUGACAUUCAGGUGUGUUGCACUGGUGGCUGUGUGGCUGUGUGGUGUGUGGCUGUGUGGUGUGUGGUGUGGCCACCAGGAGCCAUGUGGCCGAGGACAGCUGUGGGCUGGGCACAGAGCUGUCUCUGCUGGGAGUCAGUCGGUGCUGGGGUGAGGGGAGGCAGAGCUCACAGAGCCCCUCUACAGCUUACCCUGCAGCUCUGCCCCAGGCAGUAAACCCACCAUCCCCCUUUCUGCCGCAGGAGGCCGUGGAGAAGGUGACGCAGCACAUACAUGGCCUGUCUGGGAAGAAGGAUGGGCUGGUGCCCAUGUUCAUCAAUACCCACAGCGGCCUCUUCACCCACCUGGGCGUGUUCACACUGGGCGCCAGGGCCGACAGCUACUAUGAGUACCUGCUGAAGCAGUGGAUCCAGGGCGGGAAGCAGGAGACACAGUGAGGCCCAGCCUGCUGCCCCCAGCUCCCGCGGCUUCCCCGUUCCCGCAGCCCCCCACUCCUGCUGCCCCCAGCUCCCGCGGCUUCCCCGUUCCCGCAGCCCCCCACUCCUGCUGCCCCCCGCCACACUGUGUGUCGGGAAACCGCAGCCGUGCCAGGCCUGGCCCAGGCAUUCCUGUGGAGGGCGUAUUCAUUCACUUCUCACCGUGGCCUCUGUGGGGGUGAGGGGGGCAUCUUCACUGAGGGCCAUGGGCUGUGCAGGGUGGCACCUUCUGUCCGGCAAGGGCCAGGCCUGCUGUGCUUGUGUGGGCCCAGGAUGUGCCUGUUCCUGGUGCCCCACGGGAGCCAGUGCACCGUCCUGGUAGAGUGAGGUGACUGCUGGUGUCCACAGGCUGCUGGAAGACUACCUGGAAGCCAUCGAGGGUGUCAAAACGCACCUGCUGCGGCACUCCGAGCCCAGUAAGCUCACCUUCGUGGGGGAGCUUGCCCACGGCCGCUUCAGUGCCAAGAUGGGACGCUGGCUCUGGGCGUCUACCACGGCCUGCCCGCCAGCCACAUGGAGCUGGCCCAGGAGCUCAUGGAGACUUGUUACCAGAUGAACCGGCAGAUGGAGACGGGGCUGAGUCCCGAGAUCGUGCACUUCAACCUUUACCCCCAGCCGGGCCGUCGGGACGUGGAGGUCAAGCCGGCAGACAGGCACAACCUGCUGCGGCCAGAGACCGUGGAGAGCCUGUUCUACCUGUACCGUGUCACAGGGGACCGCAAGUACCAGGACUGGGGCUGGGAGAUUCUGCAGAGCUUCAGCCGGUUCACGCGGGUCCCCUCGGGUGGCUAUUCUUCCAUCAACAAUGUCCAGGAUCCUCAGAAGCCCGAGCCCAGGGACAAGAUGGAGAGCUUCUUCCUGGGGGAGACGCUCAAGUAUCUGUUCUUGCUCUUCUCUGACGACCGUAACCUACUCAGCCUGGACGCCUACGUGUUCAACACUGAAGCCCACCCUCUGCCUAUCUGGACCCCUGCCUAGGGGGGACGGCUGCUGCUGUGGGGACUUCGGGUGGGCAGAGGCGCCUGGCUGGGUCUGUGGCAUUUUCCAAGGGCCCACGUAGCGCCGGCAACCGCCGAGUGGCCCGGGCUCUGAACUGGCUCUGGGCUCCUCCUUGUCUCUGCUUUAAUCAGGACACCGUGAGGCCAAGUGAGGCCGUCAGUCUGUGUGUGAUGCGGUGUGGGCUGGGCCACUGGAGCCUCCGCCUGCUUCCUCCAGAAAACACGAAUCAUGACUCACGAUCGCUGAAGCCUGAGCAGGUCUCUGUGGGCCGACCGGAGGGGCUUCGAGUGGCCCCUGGCACUGUGGUGACCGAGUGGACAGCCCAGGGUGCAGCUCUGCCCAGGCUCGUGAAGCCUCAGAUGUCCCCAAUCCAAGGGUCUGGAGGGGCUGCCGUGACUCCACAGGCCCGAGGCUCCAGGGCUGGCUCUGGUGUUUACUAGCUGGACUCAGGGAUCCUCCUGGCCACCCCGCAGGGGGCUUGGAGGGCUGGACGGCAAGUCUGUCUGGCUCACGGGCCCCUCCAGUGGAAUGGGUCCUUUCGGUGGAGAUAAAAGUUGAUUUGCUCU
This 3255-nucleotide small RNA is filed under the name Pongo abelii (Sumatran orangutan). Its description in RNAcentral is "retained intron". The record is from RNAcentral. Lineage: Eukaryota; Metazoa; Chordata; Mammalia; Primates; Hominidae.